This is a long non-coding RNA of Scylla paramamosain (green mud crab), 1121 nucleotides long. RefSeq lists it as uncharacterized. The transcript is spliced from 6 exons. The record is from RefSeq and is a predicted model, not a curated record. NCBI's taxonomy places the organism in Eukaryota, Metazoa, Arthropoda, Malacostraca, Decapoda, Portunidae.
CUGUUUUCUGGAUUAAUUUCAGCUGUGUGUAUGCGUGUGUGUGUAUAUAUAUGUGUGUGUGUGUGUGUGUGUGUGUGUGUGUGUGUGUGUGUGUGUGUGUGUAUAUCUAUGUGUGUGUGUGUGUGUGUGUGUGUGUGUCCGCCUCUAUUCCAUGAUAAAUAGCAUUAUAUUCUCUCUUCUCUUCUCCCCUUUUGCUAUUAAGUAUCAAGUAUUUUCCAGGUAUUUCCAGUGUUUUCCAGGUAGUGUCGUAGGUUGAAGCCAGACCUCUGCUACCUGUCACUACUAAACUCACCUUAAUUGACCUCCUGUGCCUCUGUGGUCCCGUUCCCUGGUGUUUAAAUGAAAAGAGGACACACACACACAACCGCACUGCACGGUGUUUCCCAGGUACACUGAGGAAGACAAUAAAAAAUAAAUAAAUCUGCUGUCUCUCAAUAUUUAUCGUAAUUUACAGUGUUUUGUUGUGUGAGGAGCAGACUACUGGGGUGAUUUGUGCACAGGUGGACUUGGAAUCUCUCAGGGGAAACUACAUGUAGUAAUUGAAUUAAAAUGGCUAGAACCAGAGGAUGGGGUUGUGCGUCCCCGGGAGUUCAGAGGGUGCCGGCGCUUCAACUGAUGGUGUGGACCCAUGAGACAGAGGCUCCACCAGGUGGUAACACAAGCAGCGGGUGGAAGAGACCUUGGGAGACUUCCGUAACUCAGAAGCAAGAAGCAAACCUCACUGGAGCCUUGUGACUGACUGGUGGUUUUGACUGCAGGCACCAACAUUCAGGUGGCCAUCAGGGACGUGAGAGGCCUCCAGCAGUAUGCCUGGAGAUACUUGUGUGUGGAUGAGGGAUGCAGACUCAAGAACCACAAGUGUAGGCUGACCAAGGUAACAGGGACGUGAGGGGUCUCCUGCAGCAUGCCUGAAGAUACUUGUGUGUGGACGAGGGACACACACUCAAGAACCACAAGUCCCUGAACACCCUUUCCCCCAUGAACUGGCUGCUGUUUACUGGGACAACCCUUGCAGAACAGCCUGGCGGAGCUCUGGGCCCUUCUGAACUUCCUAAUGCUGGAUAAUUUUGAGUCCUUGUCCAAUGUGAGUGAGAUGCAGGAGGGAAGUGAGGAGAGGGACU